AUACGUAGGGGGCGAGCGUUGUCCGGAAUGAUUGGGCGUAAAGGGCGCGUAGGCGGCCCGGUAAGUCUGGAGUGAAAGUCCUGUUUUUAAGAUGGGAAUUGCUUUGGAUACUGUCGGGCUUGAGUGCAGGAGAGGUAAGUGGAAUUCCCAGUGUAGCGGUGAAAUGCGUAGAGAUUGGGAGGAACACCAGUGGCGAAGGCGACUUACUGGACUGUAACUGACGCUGAGGCGCGAAAGCGUGGGGAGCGAACAGGAUUAGAUACCCUGGUAGUCCACGCGGUAAACGAUGAAUGCUAGGUGUUGCGGGUAUCGACCCCUGCAGUGCCGGAGUCAACACAAUAAGCAUUCCGCCUGGGGAGUACGGCCGCAAGGUUGAAACUCAAAUGAAUUGGCGGGG
This 397-nucleotide ribosomal RNA is filed under the name uncultured bacterium. RNAcentral describes it as "partial 16S ribosomal RNA". It matches the Rfam family "Bacterial small subunit ribosomal RNA", at positions 523 to 918 of the family's 1533-position model. The record is from RNAcentral.